UAGGGAAUCUUCGGCAAUGGACGAAAGUCUGACCGAGCAACGCCGCGUGAGUGAAGAAGGUUUUCGGAUCGUAAAACUCUGUUGUUAGAGAAGAACAAGGACGUUAGUAACUGAACGUCCCCUGACGGUAUCUAACCAGAAAGCCACGGCUAACUACGUGCCAGCAGCCGCGGUAAUACGUAGGUGGCAAGCGUUGUCCGGAUUUAUUGGGCGUAAAGCGAGCGCAGGCGGUUUCUUAAGUCUGAUGUGAAAGCCCCCGGCUCAACCGGGGAGGGUCAUUGGAAACUGGGAGACUUGAGUGCAGAAGAGGAGAGUGGAAUUCCAUGUGUAGCGGUGAAAUGCGUAGGUAUAUGGAGGAACACCAGUGGCGAAGGCGGCUCUCUGGUCUGUAACUGACGCUGAGGCUAGAAAGCGUGGGGAGCAAACAGG
This 429-nucleotide ribosomal RNA is filed under the name Gemmatimonadota bacterium. RNAcentral's name for it is "Gemmatimonadetes bacterium partial 16S ribosomal RNA". It matches the Rfam family "Bacterial small subunit ribosomal RNA", at positions 355 to 776 of the family's 1533-position model. The record is from RNAcentral. Lineage: Bacteria; Pseudomonadati; Gemmatimonadota.